RNAcentral lists this ribosomal RNA (253 nucleotides) under uncultured bacterium. RNAcentral describes it as "partial 16S ribosomal RNA". It matches the Rfam family "Bacterial small subunit ribosomal RNA", at positions 524 to 776 of the family's 1533-position model. The record is from RNAcentral.
UACGUAGGGGGCGAGCGUUAAUCGGAAUUACUGGGCGUAAAGCGUGCGCAGGCGGUUAUGUAAGACAGAGGUGAAAUCCCCGGGCUCAACCUGGGAACUGCCUUUGUGACUGCAUGACUAGAGUACGGCAGAGGGGGAUGGAAUUCCGCGUGUAGCAGUGAAAUGCGUAGAUAUGCGGAGGAACACCGAUGGCGAAGGUAAUCCCCUGGGCCUGUAAUGACGCUCAUGCACGAAAGCGUGGGGAGCAAACAGG